CUGUACCUGAGUGGAGAGAUGGGGCCCAGGCACGGUCGGUUGACGUGGUGUAAUUGCUGACGUGUUGAUCUUCUUCUCCUCUGGUCGAUUGUCCUUUCUUGCUGUCUCCUUUGGUCGGUCGUCCCUUCGUGCUAUCAACUUCGGUCGGGCGGGGGAGGGUACCUGCGAAGGCACUCCGACGCUCAAGUAAGUAUGAGAUUCUAAGCGCAGUUUCGUAAGUGAAUGAAAACGUCCCUUUCUC
RNAcentral lists this long non-coding RNA (241 nucleotides) under Phaseolus vulgaris (common bean). RNAcentral's name for it is "long non-coding RNA (PVUL_LNC000547)". The record is from RNAcentral. Lineage: Eukaryota; Viridiplantae; Streptophyta; Magnoliopsida; Fabales; Fabaceae.